This is a long non-coding RNA of Micropterus salmoides (largemouth bass), 1709 nucleotides long. RefSeq lists it as uncharacterized. The transcript is spliced from 2 exons. The record is from RefSeq and is a predicted model, not a curated record. Lineage: Eukaryota; Metazoa; Chordata; Actinopteri; Centrarchiformes; Centrarchidae.
GCACGGGAUUCCCCUGUUUGGAAAACCCUUAAAGAGUCCCAACAUUCAGUAGUCAGCCAGUCGCUCGACGUAGAAGGCAAUGAGACGGACGCGUGUGAACUCGGCUCCCGCGUUUGAGCCCGCAGUAAUUAAAGCCAUCCAUCAGAUCAUGACAGUGGUGCCGAGAAACAUCGCAUGGUGGGACCUGGAAUGUGAUCAGGGUUACCAUGGCAACAGCAAUAAAACGCACAGGUGGCGUUCACACAGCGGGAUUCCUCUCAGUUUCCUGGUGUGAUGUGAUUCACUGACAAACUAUGUGUGGAGUGUACCAACACACAGAACACAAAAGGUGGUAAUUGUUACAUUUCUUUCACUAUGAUUGUCUGUUGCAAACUUUCCCUCUGUUAUGCUCGUUGCUGUCCUUUUUUAUUUUAUUUUUUUUUGUAUCGUUCUGUAAUUUUGAGGAUACAUUAGAGCAAGUGCAUAAAGUUCUACAAAUGGUAAUUGUUGUGGCCACAGUACAGUUCUGGUUGGGUGAGGUUUGCCAUGAGCUGACAGGAAUGUAGUCAAGUAUUUCUAGGUUGUCUAAUACAUCAAACAAAGAUACAUUCAACAUACCAUUCUUUGUGUCUUCUUUCUAGAGACACUUUGUGUGACACGUAUUGUAGGCCUACUUAGGAUAGGACCAAACACUGUGACAUAUUUGAAAAUGUAGUUUGACCAAGGCACUUCAAAUAAAUGAUGUAACUAAUGACAGAAGAGGUUGAAAAUGUAACAGAACCUGAAUAUCAAAUUGAAGUGGUCAUUAAUAUUUCCACAGUGGCAUUCGAAUGAUGACAAAAGUUUUUUUUAUAUGGAAAUUAUGUUUAAAGCAUAUUUCCAGCAUUUUUAAGACAGACAGAAACCAAGCCACAGACCAGCGACAAGGAAAACCCUCUCAGGUUGCAUUUGGGCGCAUAAUGUAAUUUUGUUUGAGUGAUCACCAUGCAUGACAAUGCUCAAAACACAAAAAAAAAUUUAAACAUUUUUAUUUCUCCACAAAUACUGAUGCGGAGUAUAAUUAAUUUUCAGGAAUGUAAGUGGUUUUGAAAAAGCCUGUAGUUGUUUGAGGACAAUAGGAUUUAGUUUGGACUUAUUAUUAUUUAUUUUUACAAAACCAGAUGAGAAGACACCAGUGGUGAGGGACAUGUUGAUAACUGCUGCUGAUAUAAAACACGUCUGUCAAAAUGUUGGGAGGACAUUUUCUGUGGGAAUGGUGGAGGGUUUGAGUGAGGGGGAAAAUUUCACAUAAAUCUCUUCUUUGCAAGAGUAGGUUAGAAGGCAGACACAUGCACAGUAAUUGAUCACAUGUUAUCUUAAGAGAGAUGUGGUUUGUUGUCCGUCUGUGUUUUUUUCUUUUGGAUAAUUAAAUGACCCCACCAGCUCUUUGGCUUAUUACAGCUCAUCUACCACAAAGCAUGCAUAGGGAACUUACUGUAACUUGCUGACCACCAAAAAACCAUCACCAUUGCUAUACAGUCACCUAUGUUGCAGAGGCAGUCAACUAACAGCAGCUCUUAUAAGAAUAGUAGGUACAGCACAGACAAUGUUUUGUCAAAGUUGUAGACCAUUCCCUUAAAUAAUUUUUGUCCAACAUUGUCUGUAUCCUUUAGACAUUGUCGUAGAAAAUGCAACAUGUUCUCAUUUAUUGCUGUAAUUUGCUUCAAUAAAUAUCCAAUCAUUAUUACCAA